GACGGAGGAUGCAAGUGUUAUCCGGAAUCACUGGGCGUAAAGCGUCUGUAGGUGGUUCGAAAAGUCCACUGUUAAAAAUUGAGGCUUAACUUCAAAGAUGCCGUGGAAACUUUCAAACUAGAGUAUGGUAGGGGUAGAGGGAAUUUCCAGUGGAGCGGUGAAAUGCGUAGAUAUCGGGAGGAACACCAGUGGCGAAGGCGGUUGCCUGGAGCUUUGCUGACGCUGAGGCGCGAAAGCGUGGGGAGCGAUCCGG
RNAcentral lists this ribosomal RNA (253 nucleotides) under uncultured bacterium. Its description in RNAcentral is "partial 16S ribosomal RNA". It matches the Rfam family "Bacterial small subunit ribosomal RNA", at positions 524 to 776 of the family's 1533-position model. The record is from RNAcentral.